RNAcentral lists this ribosomal RNA (479 nucleotides) under bacterium E-1-0-6F. Its description in RNAcentral is "bacterial SSU rRNA". It matches the Rfam family "Bacterial small subunit ribosomal RNA", at positions 471 to 945 of the family's 1533-position model. The record is from RNAcentral.
GACGUUACUCGCAGAAUAAGCACCGGCUAACUCUGUGCCAGCAGCCGCGGUAAUACAGAGGGUGCGAGCGUUAAUCGGAUAUUACUGGGCGUAAAGCGUACGUAGGCGGCUUUUUAAGUCGGAUGUGAAAUCACCUGAGCUCUAACUUAGGAAUUGCAUUCGAUACUGGGAAGCUAGAGUAUGGGAGAGGAUGGUAGAAUUACCAGGUGUAGCGGUGAAAUGCGUAGAGAUCUGGAGGAAUACCGAUGGCGAAGGCAGCCAUCUGGCCUAAUACUGACGCUGAGGUACGAAAGCAUGGGGAGCAAACAGGAUUAGAUACCCUGGUAGUCCAUGCCGUAAACGAUGUCUACUAGCCGUUGGGGCCUUUGAGGCUUUAGUGGCGCAGCUAACGCGAUAAGUAGACCGCCUGGGGAGUACGGUCGCAAGACUAAAACUCAAAUGAAUNGACGGGGGCCCGCACAAGCGGUGGAGCAUGUGGU